ACGAACGCUGGCGGCGUGCUUAACACAUGCAAGUCGAGCGAUGAAGCACCUUCGGGUGUGAAUUAGCGGCGAACGGGUGAGGAACACGUGAGAAAUCUGCCUUCAACUCUGGGAUAACUCCGGGAAACCGGGGCUAAUACCGGAUAUGAGCCUCUUUCGCAUGAAGGGGGCUGGAAAGUUUUUCGGUAGAAGAUGACCUCGCGGCCUAUCAGCUUGUUGGUGAGGUAAUGGCUCACCAAGGCGACGACGGGUAGCCGGCCUGAGAGGGCGACCGGCCACACUGGGACUGAGACACGGCCCAGACUCCUACGGGAGGCAGCAGUGGGGAAUAUUGGGCAAUGGAGGGAACUCUGACCCAGCGACGCCGCGUGCGGGAUGAAGGCCUUCGGGUUGUAAACCGCUUUCAGCAAGGAAGAAGCGAAAGUGACGGUACUUGCAGAAGAAGCACCGGCUAACUAUGUG
Molecule: ribosomal RNA, 462 nt
Filed under: uncultured bacterium
Lineage: Bacteria
Description: bacterial SSU rRNA
Rfam family: Bacterial small subunit ribosomal RNA
Source: RNAcentral